RNAcentral lists this ribosomal RNA (497 nucleotides) under uncultured bacterium. Its description in RNAcentral is "partial 16S ribosomal RNA". It matches the Rfam family "Bacterial small subunit ribosomal RNA", at positions 28 to 507 of the family's 1533-position model. The record is from RNAcentral.
GAUGAACGCUGGCGGCGUGCCUAAUACAUGCAAGUCGAGCGAACAGACGCGGAGCUUGCUCCUCUGACGUUAGCGGCGGACGGGUGAGUAACACGUGGAUAACCUACCUAUAAGACUGGGAUAACUUCGGGAAACCGGCGCUAAUACCGGAUAAUAUAUUGAACCGCAUGGUUCAAUGGUGAAAGACGGUUUUGCUGUCACUUAUAGAUGGAUCCGCGCCGCUUGAGCUAGUUGGUACGGUAACGGCUUACCACGGCAACGAUGCGUAGCCGACCGGAGAGGCGGAUCGGCCACACUGGAACUGAGACACGGUCCAGACUCCUACGGGAGGCAGCAGUAGGGAAUCUUCCGCAAUGGGCGAAAGCCUGACGGAGCAACGCCGAGUGAGUGAUGAAGGUCUUCGGAUCGUAAAACUCUGUUAUUAGGGAAGAACAAAUGUGUAAGUAACUAUGCACGUCUUGACGGUACCUAAUCAGAAAGCCACGGCUAACUACGUG